GACGAACGCUGGCCGCGUGCUUAACACAUGCAAGUCGAGCGGAAAGGCCCCUUUGGGGGUACUCGAGUGGCGAACGGGUGAGUAACACGUGAGUCAACUGCCCUUGACUUCGGGAUAACCUCAGGACAAUGGGGCUAAUACCGGUUCGGAAACCUUGCAGCAUGGGGGGGGUUGGAAAGCUUAGGCGGUUUUGGAUGGACCCGCGGCUUAUCAGCUUGUUGGUGGGGUAGUGGCUUACCAAGGCUUUGACGGGUAGCCGGCCUGAGAGGGCGACCGGCCACAUUGGGACUGCGAGACGGCCCAGACUCCGACGGGAGGCAGCAGUGGGGAAUAUUGCACAAUGGGCGGAAGCCUGAUGCAGCAACGCCGCGUGCGGGAGGACGGCCUUCGGGUUGUAAGCCGCUUUCAGCAGGGGCGAAGCUUGUGGUGACGGUACCUGCAGAAGAAGCACCGGCUAACUACGUG
RNAcentral lists this ribosomal RNA (465 nucleotides) under uncultured bacterium. RNAcentral's name for it is "partial 16S ribosomal RNA". It matches the Rfam family "Bacterial small subunit ribosomal RNA", at positions 28 to 507 of the family's 1533-position model. The record is from RNAcentral.